Bombus huntii is the source of this 4309-nucleotide long non-coding RNA. RefSeq lists it as uncharacterized. The transcript has 2 exons. Lineage: Eukaryota; Metazoa; Arthropoda; Insecta; Hymenoptera; Apidae. The record is from RefSeq and is a predicted model, not a curated record.
GGGAUACACCAUGUUAUUCGGACCUAUACAGUCAGCUGGAUCUGUGAGCGCGUCUCCCCACACGUAUUUCAAGCCUAAUCCGUUCCCCUCGCAUCUUUUGGCAUACACGACGUGGGCGCAUGUGGUGAUAACAAGAAUCAGACCCAGACAGGCGUAUUAAUGAAAAUUAAUUACGCCGGUGAGCAACAUCUCAUGAAUAAAACAAUCAGAACUGGCUACUAAUCGGAUUACCAAAACUCGUACGAGAGAACGUGUUGUCACCGCGACGAAGGAAGGUGUGAGUGAACGCACGGUCUUGGAACUCGAGUUCGCACGAGGUCAAGAGCAAAAGUAAAUGACACUGGGGCUCUGGUUUGUGACGCGUCGCGCAAAAAUCCACCGAAUCUCUUCGAAUGAGCGUGUGUAAUUGGGAUUCGCGUAGCUGCACGCUUUGACAUUAUUAGUCUACGAUUUUGUAAACGUUUAACCAUUGACUGCUGGUCUAUCAUUAUCAUUUCCUUUUGCGAACUCGCCCGCAGAGGUUCCGUUUCACGGGCUGGUAGCGGGUACUGUCCGAACGGCAAAGAAACGAGCGAGCGAGCAAACUUUUUCCCUUUCGAGCUUCACGAACGAUGAAAAUCGUCCGGACGACACGAGAGAGUGACGACCGUGCGCAAUUAAGAAUAACAAUUAGCGAGCGUGCAUAACCAAUAGGACUCCAUGUAUAUACAGAGUUUGGGGUUUCUAGGUUGUCAGGUCCACAUUACUUCCGCUAUAUGUAUUUCUCGUCGUUAAUCGAACACGAGUGAAAGCAACACGAUAGCAUGCGGCCAAUAGCGUUCGAUGCUCAAUUUCGAAUACUGUGCAAAUUUUAUUGGCGAGAAACCUCAAUAUUCGAUCUAGUUUUUAAGUUGCUCGAUCGGUGCAUUUGUUUGAUGUCCAUUUUUUCAUUUGUCGAUCAUUUGGAUGAUUCCAAGUCGAGAAGAAAAAUCAAUGCGGCAGAAAAUUGCGGUUUAAUGUUUGGCCAAGUGAUAAAUUGCGCGUGGGAAAAGGAAAGGAAGAAAAUCAUUAAUGGGUAGCACUCAAGGCUGGUCAUUGGCCGUGACUGACAUCGCGUAUCUGUUUCUUCAGGAAGCGCUGCCUACAUUUAGCAUUCCUUAUUCCUACUUUAUAGAAAAUAUAACUGAAAUAUCUGUACAAUUUGUAAUAUCAGAAAUAAUAUUCCAAUGUCGUAUAUUAUAUCGAUCGAAUCGGAUAAGACACAUAUUUCUAUAUCGCUUGACUCUAGAAAUCAGAACGUACAUUUAUUCUCUUAUUUUGAUUAAUUUUAAGCAUUGCAGGAGGAAAUCUCCUCUAGAUCCUCUUCGAUCGAGCUGUAUGUAGCCGAGUCACAUUGCAUCAACGUCAAUGGUCAAUGACACAGCAUAAUUACCACGUAAGAACAUUCGGAUAAAUAUCUGAGGUAUCUUUAUCGCGUCUCGAUGGAUUACAUAACGGCGAACCUGCGAAAAGGCAAAAUCGAGCAACUGGAAGAGACGUGAGAAUCACUUGAACUUGGAAGAUAGAGGUUUUCCGCGAGUUCACGGAUUCACGGUAAUUUACUAUCAACAAGAACAAUUAUUCGAGCCGCAAUUUCUCACGUUGCUAGCAGCUUCUUUUCCCAGUAAUUGUUGAGAGAGUACUGUUAAUAUGCUAACACGUCGCGGGAAUAAUUAACAGGCUACCACCGAUCGUGGAAACAGUUGGUAGAAUUUGAACGAGGCUCGUCUAACUGGAGCUGCGAAGCAGCUUCAAGGAAGUUCGGACGAUUAGAUGUAAUGCGAGAAUUGGUAGGUGAAAUAGACUUGAUGAAAUAUGACAUAGAAAAAAGCUUGGGAAGAACUCUGCUUCCGGCACUCAGGAGAGGAUUCCUCGUGGACCAUGAACGUGUCAUGCGGUUGUUUCUAACGGUAAAGAUGAAUCGUCCUAAACGCUUUUUCCUCUCGCUUCGGCUGUUCUUUAUCGAAUAUACAUUUACUCAUCCUUGGUCUCUGUUAACGGUAUAGUCAUUUCGGUAUUUAGUUUCACGAAUAAAUUAUUAUAACUGUCACGGAGUUGUUACGUAUUCGAAAUUCCGCCUCUUCGGUCUCCGUGUUCACAGCGCGAAGAUUUCCUAGUCAGGGGCUCGUUAUCGCUUUCGCAUGACAGAGCGCAGACGCCUCGUAAAAUAUCGAAUGUUCAAUUGUAAUUUUAUUGUAACAGAUCUGCACGAUUAGCGAUCGUUUCCUUGUCGCAAUAAGAGCAAUAUACUUGAUCUAAAAGUAACUGCAAUUCUAAACGGAGUAAUACGCUGGAUCAAAAACGUAAGGGAGCAAUGAAAAAGAUAGGAACGCGAUUUUGUGACAAGUAAUAAACGAGGGAAAUGUUAGUUUAAGGAGACGUGUCUAAUCAUUGUCCCUUUGUAUUUUAAAGCCUGGAAGAACUUUGGCGUAGAGUCCAAUCCGUAAGAUUUGAUUUCGAUUACAGUAAUGACUUUUAAGAUGCUGCGCAUCUCCUCUCGUAACUGCUUGGAAUGUUUUUCAAAAUGUAUCAUAAUUUUUUCGAUGCUCGAAGAUUGACGUGCAGUCGCUGUAUAUUUGUCAGUGUUACAUUGAAAGCUUCAAACUUUAUGACUAUUCUUAUAUUUUUGCAUUAGGAUUCGAGUAGCAGUAGUUCUAAUUAAAAGCGAAAUCACGAAGCAGAAAUUCAAAUUUAGAAAUUUCACGAUUUCAGAAUGUUGCUAAUCUGUUUUGAGAUUUUUUUCUCCUUAAACAGGAGAUCAGAAUGAAUGUUAUUUAAUUUAAACGGAAUAUCGUAGAAUAUUGAAAAUUUUUUAGCUUUCGAGUCAUUAAAAUUUGUACAUACCAUUUUCAGAUGUUACAUUCAGUCAUGAAAAUUUGUCAUUAUUAUCUGUUACAACCUGCAGGAUGUCACUCACCGUGAGAAAGACCGUUUUUAACACUGUGCGUUUGAAUCCUUUUCUCGGUCCGUUUGAUAAUACGAUCGGUUAUACGCGUUACAUGAAUCGAUCGCAAUGUUCGGGUCUAAGAAGGAAUAGAAUUAAAAUGGGGGCACACGAGUUCCUUAAACACUGUUCAUGUCACCACACCGGAUGUCGUGGGGUCGAACACCUCCGUCCUCACAGGUGGAUGUCUAGAGGUUGACUGUAGAAUCGUAAGUAACCGCUCUCCGUGCUCUGGUAGAGUCAGGGAAAAAGGGGGGAUGAGAUGAGGAAUAUCGGCUCCUGUUCUACUACUUUGAAACCUUUCUUCUUUUCUUUGUGAGGAGACUAAAGAGGGUAAAUAAGAACACCCCUUUUUUCCUUUGCGUUUUGCCAAACUAUUAAAUAUUCCUCACUUUCUGAGGACUACUUUUUAUACAAAAAUGUGUUAAUAAAUUACAUUUAUAGACUAGGAAUAUUAAAAUAGGAUUUAUGGAUGUGGAGGUUAAUAUAAUAAUGCAAUCGGUAGAAGUACAUUGUCUUUAUAGCUGUUCGAUGACAAUGUAUUACAAAAUUAUACAUAUUUUUAAAUGAAUAGUGAUGGAGUGAUAAUAAAUUUGUGUGCCCAAAAUUAUUUCUAUCUUGUUUUGUCCAAUUCAUUGUAACCAGAUUCAUUAAAUUAUUUCCAUAUAUAUAAACUCUGUUGCAUACUUAUGAAAUUUACCUUUUUCAUUUAAAUAUUAGUUUGCAUAUCGUAUUUCAUAUUUUGAAUCUUUAAUUACAUGUCAUAAUCGCAAUAAAAUUUUACUACUAGUUAGAGAAGAAAGCAAUGUCAAAACAACAUUCGUGUACGAAGCUGAAUGUUAUAUUACAUAGAGAAUAUAUCUUCAAAAAAUCCUUAAGAGAUUUGACGAGAAAGGUGGAAUUAUUCAGGCUUCGAUAACGACAGACAAAUAUCUGUUGUAUUUCCUAGUAAUUCUAGGAGCAAUAGAUAUACGAAAUAUGUUACAUAUUGCAAUAAAUGACAAUUACUUUUUAAUACAGUAGUCCAAUAUCGAAAUAUCUUCUGUAAGUCAUUUUCUUUGUAUUAAAAUAAGUAAUAGAAAUUUUCGUCAGAUAUACUCAAAUUGCAGUCUUAUAGAUACUAAUUGUUAAAAAGAGACUACAUGAAAUCAACUUAAGAGAUUAAACAUAAUAGCAAAGUUAUAUAUAGUUCACUUAAUUUCGUAAUAAUCGAGUACAAUAGCGUUAAUGAUUCUAAAAAUACUAUCCAAGUUCUUCACUAAAUGAAACUUAGAGACUUAAAAUUCUUAUAUCUGUUACUUUAAUUAAAUAUAUAGGCUAAUAAUAAUAUAACGUGUUCAUUUACUU